This 488-nucleotide ribosomal RNA is filed under the name uncultured bacterium. RNAcentral describes it as "bacterial SSU rRNA". It matches the Rfam family "Bacterial small subunit ribosomal RNA", at positions 33 to 507 of the family's 1533-position model. The record is from RNAcentral.
AGGAGACGCUGGCGGCGUGGAUUAGGCAUGCAAGUCGAACGGUAGGAUCCUUUCGGGGAUCUGAGAGUGGCGAACGGGUGAGUAACACGUAGGUGAUCUACCCUCAAGACGGGGACAACCCAGGGAAACUUGGGCUAAUACCGGAUGUGAGCUAUCGCGAGAUAGUUUGAAAGGUGGCUUCGGCUGCCGCUUGAGGAUGAGCCUGCGUCCUAUUAGCUAGUUGGUGAGGUAACGGCUCACCGAGGCAGUGAUAGGUAGGCGGCCUUAACGGGUGGUCGCCCACACUGGGAUUGAGAUACGGCCCAGACUCCUACGGGAGGCAGCAGUCGAGAAUAGUCUACAAUGGUCGAAAGACUGAUAGUGCGACGCCGCGUGAACGAAGAAGCCCUUCGGGGUGUAAAGUUCUUUUAUAUGUGAGCAGUGACACCCAUAUUAAUAGUAUGGGUGUAGAGAUAUUAGCAUAUGAAUAAGCAACGGCUAACUCCGUG